UACGUAGGGGGCAAGCGUUGUCCGGAAUCAUUGGGCGUAAAGAGCGCGUAGUCGGCCAGGUAGGUCGGUUGUGAAAACUGGAGGCUCAACCUUCAGAGGUCGACCGAAACCAUCUGGCUAGAGUCCGGGAGAGGAGAGUGGAAUUCCUGGUGUAGCGGUGAAAUGCGCAGAUAUCAGGAAGAACACCCGUGGCGAAAGCGGCUCUCUGGACCGGUACUGACGCUGAGACGCGAAAGCGUGGGGAGCAAACAGG
This 253-nucleotide ribosomal RNA is filed under the name uncultured bacterium. Its description in RNAcentral is "partial 16S ribosomal RNA". It matches the Rfam family "Bacterial small subunit ribosomal RNA", at positions 524 to 776 of the family's 1533-position model. The record is from RNAcentral.